This 673-nucleotide ribosomal RNA is filed under the name uncultured Pseudomonadota bacterium. RNAcentral's name for it is "bacterial SSU rRNA". It matches the Rfam family "Bacterial small subunit ribosomal RNA", at positions 60 to 723 of the family's 1533-position model. The record is from RNAcentral. Lineage: Bacteria; Pseudomonadati; Pseudomonadota.
AGUCGAACGGUAACGGGAACAGCUUGCUGUUUCGCUGACGAGUGGCGGACGGGUGAGUAAUGUCUGGGAAACUGCCUGAUGGAGGGGGAUAACUACUGGAAACGGUAGCUAAUACCGCAUAACGUCGCAAGACCAAAGAGGGGGACCUUCGGGCCUCUUGCCAUCGGAUGUGCCCAGAUGGGAUUAGCUAGUAGGUGGGGUAACGGCUCACCUAGGCGACGAUCCCUAGCUGGUCUGAGAGGAUGACCAGCCACACUGGAACUGAGACACGGUCCAGACUCCUACGGGAGGCAGCAGUGGGGAAUAUUGCACAAUGGGCGCAAGCCUGAUGCAGCCAUGCCGCGUGUAUGAAGAAGGCCUUCGGGUUGUAAAGUACUUUCAGCGGGGAGGAAGGGAGUAAAGUUAAUACCUUUGCUCAUUGAUGUUACCCGCAGAAGAAGCACCGGCUAACUCCGUGCCAGCAGCCGCGGUAAUACGGAGGGUGCAAGCGUUAAUCGGAAUUACUGGGCGUAAAGCGCACGCAGGCGGUUUGUUAAGUCAGAUGUGAAAUCCCCGGGCUCAACCUGGGAACUGCAUCUGAUACUGGCAAGCUUGAGUCUCGUAGAGGGGGGUAGAAUUCCAGGUGUAGCGGUGAAAUGCGUAGAGAUCUGGAGGAAUACCGGUGGCGAAGGCG